Long non-coding RNA from Spodoptera frugiperda (fall armyworm), 819 nucleotides. RefSeq lists it as uncharacterized. The transcript has 2 exons. Lineage: Eukaryota; Metazoa; Arthropoda; Insecta; Lepidoptera; Noctuidae. The record is from RefSeq and is a predicted model, not a curated record.
GAGGUUUUUCAAGGUUAUUAGUGCUUUGAACCUUUUAAGAAUGAAAAAUUGGUGUCAGAAAUUUAUAGUUUACCAAGGAAUUUUCAAUUCAACAAUUUCAAUGAAAUUCAAUGUUAUGUCAGACAUUUUGACAUUUAGCCAAAAGUCACUGAAAAGAAAACGAGAAAAUGUUUUCAAUAUCUUAUGCCAUGGUCAAUGGAGGUUUUAAACCUGAACGAUGGCCUCCAUGGUACCUUUUUAAAUAAGAAGUUCUCUUUAUCAUUGCUGCUACUAAUUUUGAUGCACUUUUGGCCAAUAAAUUAAGAUCAGACACCAAACUUUGAAUUACGUAUUUGCUAAGAAGUAAAAGUUUUUAAACGAAUUGUUAUUGUCAAUGUCACUGUCACAUAAAAUUGUCAACAUACUUAUAACCUCAAAUUAGCAGAAAAACUGGCAUACUAAGGAAUUCUAUUUUGAAUUUACAAUUAUCUUUAUUGAUUGAUUGAUUUUCAAACAGGAAAUAUGAAAAAGUAUGCUCGCAAUGUUUUGUAUGACAAACUGCAUAGAGGCAGUGUGUUAGUCUGUGUGGGUCUAACUUUGUAUGGAACAGUGCUGCUAGGUGACCAUUUUUAUAAGUACUUCAAGUAUGUACGGCCACAGAUACAGGCAUCAAAGGAAGCGGCUGAGAAGGAACUCUUGUCUGAAGGAUCUUCAGAAAGACUAAAUAUGUAAAAUACUUAUAUUGUCAGUCAUUAUGUAAACUUAGAGACUAAUUUAAGCUAUAAUUGUAAUUAGUUAGUUUUGUUUUGAUGUUAUUUUAUUAAAUCAAUGCCUGAGUAA